GACAGAGGUGGCAAGCGUUGUUCGGAUUCAUUGGGUGUAAAGGGUCCGUAGGUGGUCAAGCAAGUCUGAUGUGAAAUCCCAUGGCUCAACCGUGGAACGGCAUUGGAAACUGCCUGACUUGAGUACCGCAGAGGUGAAGGGAAUUCCCGGUGUAAGGGUGAAAUCUGUAGAUAUCGGGAGGAACACCAGUGGCGAAAGCGCUUCACUGGGCGGUUGCUGACACUGAGGGACGAAAGCAAGGGGAGCAAACAGG
This 253-nucleotide ribosomal RNA is filed under the name uncultured bacterium. RNAcentral describes it as "partial 16S ribosomal RNA". It matches the Rfam family "Bacterial small subunit ribosomal RNA", at positions 524 to 776 of the family's 1533-position model. The record is from RNAcentral.